UGCGUAGGCGGCCUGUCAAGUCAGAAGUGAAAGGCUAUGGCUCAACCAUAGUAAGCUUUUGAAACUGAUAGGCUUGAAUACAGGAGAGGUAAGUGGAAUUCCUAGUGUAGCGGUGAAAUGCGUAGAGAUUAGGAGGAACACCAGUGGCGAAGGCGACUUACUGGACUGUUAUUGACGCUGAGGCACGAAAGCGUGGGGAGCGAACA
This 206-nucleotide ribosomal RNA is filed under the name uncultured bacterium. Its description in RNAcentral is "partial 16S ribosomal RNA". It matches the Rfam family "Bacterial small subunit ribosomal RNA", at positions 568 to 774 of the family's 1533-position model. The record is from RNAcentral.